Molecule: ribosomal RNA, 448 nt
Filed under: uncultured bacterium
Lineage: Bacteria
Description: bacterial SSU rRNA
Rfam family: Bacterial small subunit ribosomal RNA
Source: RNAcentral
CUCUGUGACUCCUACGGGAGGCAGCAGUGGGAAUAUUGCACAAUGGGCGCAAGCCUGAUGCAGCAACGCCGCGUGAGUGAUGAAGGCCUUCGGGUCGUAAAGCUCUGUCCUCAAGGAAGAAUAAAUGACGGUACUUGAGGAGGAAGCCCCCGGCUAACUACGUGCCAGCAGCCGCGGUAAUACGUAGGGGCAAGCGUUAUCCGGAAUCACUGGGCGUAAAGGGGUGCGUAGGCGGUUUUCAAGUCAGAAGUGAAAGGCUAUGGCUCAACCAUAGUAAGCUUUUGAAACUGUUAAACUUGAGUGCAGGAGAGGAAAGUGGAAUUCCUAGUGUAGAGGUGAAAUUCGUAGAUAUUAGGAGGAACACCAGUGGCGAAGGCGACUUUCUGGACUGUAACUGACGCUGAGGCACGAAAGCGUGGGGAGCGAACAGGAUUAGAUACCCUGGUAG